CAGCCGCCGCGGGAAAACGUAGGGUGCAAGCGUUAAUCGGAAUUACUGGGCGUAAAGCGUGCGCAGGCGGUGUUGUAAGACUGAUGUGAAAUCCCCGGGCUCAACCUGGGAACUGCAUUGGUGACUGCAACGCUGGAGUGCGGCAGAGGGGGAUGGAAUUCCGCGUGUAGCAGUGAAAUGCGUAGAUAUGCGGAGGAACACCGAUGGCGAAGGCAAUCCCCUGGGCCUGCACUGACGCUCAUGCACGAAAGCGUGGGGAGCAAACAGGAUUAGAUACCCGCGUAGUCCCUGUCUCUUAUAC
RNAcentral lists this ribosomal RNA (301 nucleotides) under uncultured bacterium. Its description in RNAcentral is "partial 16S ribosomal RNA". It matches the Rfam family "Bacterial small subunit ribosomal RNA", at positions 509 to 807 of the family's 1533-position model. The record is from RNAcentral.